CCUACGGGCGGCAGCAGUGGGGAAUUUUGCACAAUGGGCGCAAGCCUGAUGCAGCGACGCCGCGUGAGGGAUGAAGGCCUUCGGGUUGUAAACCUCUUUCGCUCAUGGUCAAGCCACUUCUUUGGUUGUGGUGAGGGUAGUGGGUAAAGAAGCGCCGGCUAACUACGUGCCAGCAGCCGCGGUAAUACGUAGGGCGCGAGCGUUGUCCGGAAUUAUUGGGCGUAAAGGGCUUGUAGGCGGCUUGUCGCGUCUGCCGUGAAAUCCUCUGGCUUAACUGGAGGCGUGCGGUGGGUACGGGCUGGCUUGAGUGCGGUAGGGGAGACUGGAAUUCCUGGUGUAGCGGUGGAAUGCGCAGAUAUCAGGAGGAACACCGGUGGCGAAGGCGGGUCUCUGGGCCGUUACUGACGCUGAGGAGCGAAAGCGUGGGGAGCGAACAGGAUUAGAUACCCCGGUAGUC
This 457-nucleotide ribosomal RNA is filed under the name uncultured Actinomyces sp. RNAcentral describes it as "bacterial SSU rRNA". It matches the Rfam family "Bacterial small subunit ribosomal RNA", at positions 338 to 795 of the family's 1533-position model. The record is from RNAcentral. Lineage: Bacteria; Bacillati; Actinomycetota; Actinomycetes; Actinomycetales; Actinomycetaceae.